UCCUAAAGACUCUCCACCCAGCGAGAUCCUCGCCAGCUGCCUGGCUGCUGUGGGCAACCUCAGCACCAUGAAACCAGCCCUUGAGCCUGAGCUAGAGUCCCGCCUCUUGCAAGCUGCCCUUGGCUCGGUCUUCACCCUGGGCACGGAGACGGACGCCACCGACAUCCAGGCUCUACACAAAGUCAUGCCAGAGCUCCUGGAUGCUGUGCUGGGGAACCUGCUGGCAGAG
Mauremys reevesii (Reeves's turtle) is the source of this 229-nucleotide long non-coding RNA. RefSeq lists it as uncharacterized. The transcript has 3 exons. Lineage: Eukaryota; Metazoa; Chordata; Testudines; Geoemydidae. The record is from RefSeq and is a predicted model, not a curated record.